This is an RNA transcript of Macadamia integrifolia, 975 nucleotides long. RefSeq lists it as uncharacterized. Lineage: Eukaryota; Viridiplantae; Streptophyta; Magnoliopsida; Proteales; Proteaceae. The record is from RefSeq and is a predicted model, not a curated record. The transcript is spliced from 3 exons.
GGCUCGGCGCCAUCCUCCGGGGACCACUACUUGUUCUCUUUUGAACGAUCUCAUCGAGAGUUGCAUUGGCUAAACACUUAUCCGAGAACCGGGUCCUUUUCUGGGACAUAUGAGGUCACAUUUGGUAUCUGGGAGAGAGAGUAGUUCCCCAGUGGUCAGAUGUUGAGUCACGCUUCUCUCCCAGUCUUCCUCCACGCAUUAUGCACUGCCCAGAGAUCAUUUUUUGACUGGGAUAAAGACUACAGAGCCUUCUUGGAGGAGGAGACAGUAUGCACCCCUCUUGGUCCUGAUGGUCCAGUGGUAUGUUUCCCUUUCUUGAGUAUUUCCUUCAAAUUAUUUCUUGUUUUGGUUUUGACUGAUGUUCUUUCAAGUGAGAACACGACGUGUAGACCCUUCUAUUGUUCAGUCGCAUAUCAGUGCUAUUGAUCCUUCACAAGUGGGACCCUCUACCAAUGUAGGUGGGUCUCUCAGAGUUGUUAACAUCCCCUUCCGUGGCUUCCCCGCUUGGUGCUAUCCCAACGCAGCCAACCUCAGUCUCCCUCAUCUUCUGGAGCUAAAGAUAGAUGUAGAUGCUUCCCUUGAGCUGCCCAUUCCUUAUGAUUAUGUGAGUAUUUGAUCAUUCUUCAAUUGACACUUGACUUCCUUUGGCGGAUAUGCUCUUUCUUAGGUGUCUCCGGAGGUCAAUAUGAGAUCAGGAGGAUGCAUAACGGCCUGUGCGAGGCAAUGGCUGCUGAGGAUGGGAGGAUUGCUACCUUGGAGAGCCAAGUUAGUUCCUAUGAGCAGAAAAUUGCACAACAAGAUGUACUGAUUUAGGACAUGACAUAGAGGCUGGAGCAGACUAGACUAGCAUCUGCGGGUUCCCCGAUACUCCAUGGGGAUGAUUCAGAGUAUGGUUCAAAUGAUGACUUUUUACCCAUAGGGAUUUGUUCCUAUAUUUCUUAUAAACACAAACACAUGUAUAUUUUCCUUUUUCUU